UACGAACCGUACAAACGUUAUUCGGAAUCACUGGGCUUAAAGGGUGCGUAGGCGGCCAUGUAAGUGAGGUGUGAAAUCCCUCGGCUCAACCGAGGAACUGCGCUUCAUACUGCAUGGCUUGAGGGAGACAGGGGUAAGCGGAACUGAUGGUGGAGCGGUGAAAUGCGUAGAUAUCUGGAGGAACACCGGUGGCGAAGGCGGCAUCCUGGACCGGUAUUGACGCUGAGGCGCGAAAGCUAGGGGAGCAAACGGG
This 253-nucleotide ribosomal RNA is filed under the name uncultured bacterium. RNAcentral describes it as "partial 16S ribosomal RNA". It matches the Rfam family "Bacterial small subunit ribosomal RNA", at positions 524 to 776 of the family's 1533-position model. The record is from RNAcentral.